GGGAGGCAAGCAAGCAGGCAGCUCACCAGCCCCAAUGACAACCACUGCCCGCCUGCAGCGGGCGACACUAGGUGCCCACGCCGCCAUUUUUUUAAAAACACAAGCAGCCGAGGCAUAUUUAACCAUCAUCAUUCUGCAGCUAAAAAGCCAUCAGUCAGCAAGUACUGUUACAGAGGGAAAGGUCAGAGCGAAGACGGCUGCGGCGGAGUAGGCGGAUAGGCCAGCAGCAUGGGAUAAAUCUCAUCUGGUCCUGAGGAUUUAACCACCUUUAAGCCUGCUAACGCAUUGAGUACCUUCCUUUUUAUUUCUGGAACCUUGAACUAGAAUUUCACCUAACCCUUGCUGAGUUCUCCAACCAUAAAAUAAGGGAUCAUUACACUUCGGUGUUGAGACCUUUUCAAGCAGCAGACUCCCAUUGUUGAAAGAAAAUUGCUUCAGUUGCUUUCAGUCAGUUAACUCUACCAUCCUGCAUGUGAGUAGGUAUGGGCUGUCAAUUAUUCUUGACUUGUAAUGUAUUGUGCAUUCUUCUGGUCUGGUCUUUCAAGCCAAGUAUCACUUUCACUCAUUUACUCAGAUACAG
Long non-coding RNA from Pristis pectinata (smalltooth sawfish), 580 nucleotides. RefSeq lists it as uncharacterized. NCBI's taxonomy places the organism in Eukaryota, Metazoa, Chordata, Chondrichthyes, Rhinopristiformes, Pristidae. The record is from RefSeq and is a predicted model, not a curated record. The transcript is spliced from 3 exons.